GAUGAACGCUGGCGGCGUGCUUAACACAUGCAAGUCGAACGAUGAAGCCCAGCUUGCUGGGUGGAUUAGUGGCGAACGGGUGAGUAACACGUGAGUAACCUGCCCUUAACUCUGGGAUAAGCCUGGGAAACUGGGUCUAAUACCGGAUAGGAGCGUCCACCGCAUGGUGGGUGUUGGAAAGAUUUAUCGGUUUUGGAUGGACUCGCGGCCUAUCAGCUUGUUGGUGAGGUAAUGGCUCACCAAGGCGACGACGGGUAGCCGGCCUGAGAGGGUGACCGGCCCCCCUGGGACUUAGGCACGGGCCAGACUCCUACGGGGGGCCGCCGUGGGGGAUAUUGCACCAUGGGCCCAAGCCUGAUGCCGCGGCGCCGCGUGAGGGAAGACGGCCUUUGGGUUGUAAACCUCCUUCAGUAGGGAAGAAGCCAAAGUGGCCGUACCUGCAGAAGAAGCACCGGCUAACUACGUG
Molecule: ribosomal RNA, 466 nt
Filed under: uncultured bacterium
Lineage: Bacteria
Description: partial 16S ribosomal RNA
Rfam family: Bacterial small subunit ribosomal RNA
Source: RNAcentral